UUCUAAUCUUUAUAAACUUAAUGUUUCACUGAUAAUGGUGAAUUUUGUAGGUUGAUUAUUUUUUAAGCUGACUUGACAUUUUCCUUUUUCUUUGCUUUUUAUUUUUUAAAGAAUUGCAAGUGUUACCAUGUGAUGGGAACAGGCCACUGUAAGACAAAAAGUCUACAAAUUGAAUGCCAGUGACCUUGCUCUAGUACAUCAAUCAGUGGAUUCUGUAGCUCCCAUUUAGAAUGUGCCAUGGUGUAUAAGGAAAGACAACUGUGCUGGUCUUCCUCAGCAUUGCCCUCAGCUGGACACCUGAGAACAGUUCACAGUAGGCUUCUCAGCAGUGUGCAGACUGAAGUUCCUGCAGAAGCCAUAGCUAGUCACCAAAAGGUGUGCGCAGACCAGGUACACACCAUCAUGGAAAUUCCUUGCUACAAACCAAGUACAUAAAUUCACGUGUCCUUUAUUUGAAAUAACAUCUACAGGUGCAGCUUUGAGUUUUCUGAGCAGAAUUCCAAAUAAUUUGCUGUUGUACCCACCAGAAUCUAAACCAUGAAUUAAAACACAUGUUUCUGCAAUGUGCGUUUCUUUUUUUUUCCCCCUCCUCCAUAUUAAGUGCUUCUUAUGAAACUGUGAUUAUAACUUCGGAUCAGGGAGGAAAUAAACUUCUGCAUAGUCUGAGGGGGACUCUUUUCUGCAGUCACAAUGGCAGUCGUGGGCCGUGUGCGCCGAGGACUCUGCAUGCAGCAGUAUAGUAGGUGGUAAGUGCCGUGUUU
This 761-nucleotide long non-coding RNA is filed under the name Rattus norvegicus (Norway rat). RNAcentral describes it as "long non-coding RNA NONRATT013186". The record is from RNAcentral. Lineage: Eukaryota; Metazoa; Chordata; Mammalia; Rodentia; Muridae.